AGGGAGCAUACCCAUUUGUCCAGGAAUCUCCAUUCCCACUUGAUCUUGACAGCGAAAGUUCUGCAGGAAAGGAGCAGAUAGCAAUUGAGAAAAGAAUGUUCCACAGGCUCCUGAUUGAUGGGAUGAUGCCCAGCCAUGGUGACGGUGGAUCUUCCAUACCUGAUUUACUCAGACUCUCAUGUUACUCUCUUCCGGAAAGAUCCCUAUAAACACACCCAGAAUUAGGCUCUCUCACGUUUUCAGUGGAGUUGACAUCUAAAACUACUAUCACACCUGGCGUGGCACCUAUGGAGUUAAGGCUACAAAGCGAAAUAAGGGAGACUCAAGAUGGAGAAGACCCUCCAGGGUAAAAAUUAAGAUGAGAAGAGCCAUCCAUUAGGGGCCAUGUCUUCUCUUUCUGAGACUAUCUUCAAAGCGAUUCAUCAGUGUCAAGACAGGCAAGAGAGACCUGUGAAGAUCAAUUCCUCUGUGCAAGAUAAAUAGUUUAAAAUAAUUGUAUAUAUGUAAAGGGUUUGCCUUCUCAUAAUUGAAGAGAACAGAGGGAGUCAAGACAUUUUCAGGAAGAAUGUCUUCUGCUCCGUGCCAGAGUCUGUGCAUCUAACACAGAUUUGCUAGUAGUCGGCAAAAAGCCAAGGAGCUUAAUCAAUCUCUGAAGUUUAUUAUGAAUAACCCUUAAAGCGAAUGGAUCAUUCUUAGCAAGAACAUCAUCCUGGUUAUUUCCUCAUUUUUAUAAAUUGAUCUAUAACUUCGAAUCUGGAUCCUUGAGAGAGCUGCAAGGGAUAUGAAAAAUCAGCAAAUCCAGCAGACUGGUUUUAUCUCCAAAAAGAUCAAACAAAAGUGUUCCUAUUGAAGUUGGAGCAGGAUCACCUGCUCAGACUCUACUCCCCUUCUCCCCACGGUGACCCUACAGUGGCCCCUAAGGCACCUCCUUUGAACAUGACAGCUUUGAAGAAUAGUUCAAAACCACGGAUCUCACCAAAAACACCCAUUUUGUAGAUCAGGAAGCUGAGGUCCAGGGAAAGGAGGUAACUCAACCAAGGUCACACUCAAGGUCAAUGUGGAGGACAUGAUUGGGUGCUCACGCAGCAGCCAUUGCCCAACUCCUUUUUUUUUUUGCUUGAAGAGUCCAUCUCACACUAUAGGGACUAAAAAUGCCAGAUACUCACUUUCCUGACUUCUCCUAAAGCUAGAGCAUGGGCAUUGACCCAGUUCUGUCCAGUCCUGGGAAAUGUUUACCUCGGCAAUAUAAAGCAAGCAAGGAGAAACUGCCUUUCUUCUUGGCUUUUGAUGUGGCUGGGGUGAGGACAUGAUGACUGGAGCACUGGCAGCUCUCUCACAGCCAUGUGAACACAGCUUGCGGAUGACCAUUGUAGUAGUGGGAUCCAGCUGUGAAACAUAAGCUAUUCCAGGUGUUUAAGACAGGAAAUUAAUGCAAGGAUUACUUCCAUAGAUAAUAGAAGAGCUGACAAGCCAAAGGAAGUGAUGAGGGCCACACUCCUUCAAGAGGUUAACAACUGCAGGACGUUGUUAACAUUCUUAGGACUGGAGGGGCACAGGAUGGAGGAAUGAGAGCCCAGAAUCUGGAUUUGAGGUCUAAAAUCAUAGUCAAGAACCUCUGGGGAGUGUAGAGUUUGGGGGCAUGGUUAUCUGGUGUGAGUUCAAGCCCACAGUACAGUAGAGGCUUGAUCACUGUCAGAGACAGGAGCGAAAUGCCCCCACUUCAGCCUCCACCCCUUGUCUGGCCUCCAGUCCUCCAUCAGUGCCUCCUGUUGGCAGACCUCCCUAGAAUCCUGGGGAUGGAAGUUCCCUGAAAUACGGGCAGCGCAGAGAAUGCGGGCGAGACCAGAGGCAAUUGACACUACCAUCACACUGAGGCUGGCAGGGCAGAGAGAUGAAAAGUCUCUGGCCUUUGAUGACCUCACUGUGCCCUAGGCCGGUCCGCACCUCAUUUACUGCUGGAUUUCUUGUUCUGGAGCUAAGAAAGGAUGAAUUCAUAAGGCCCCUUGACCUGGGUAUCUGAUUCUUGCAGCUGAAGCAGCCUCAGUGUUGCAAUUGAACGUGAGGCAGAAGCUGUGCCUUCCAACUCCCAGUCCUAAGCCUGGGCCACUGCACCCGUGGAAGGCAAUGGGAGAGGUCAGAAACCUAAAUGUGUGCACUCUGCAGGUGAAGUCCACUUUAACCAGACAGAGAAAGGGAAUGAGUUGGUA
Molecule: long non-coding RNA, 2207 nt
Organism: Tupaia belangeri chinensis (Chinese tree shrew)
Lineage: Eukaryota; Metazoa; Chordata; Mammalia; Scandentia; Tupaiidae
Exons: 3
Source: RefSeq, a predicted model, not a curated record